RNAcentral lists this ribosomal RNA (489 nucleotides) under uncultured bacterium. RNAcentral describes it as "partial 16S ribosomal RNA". It matches the Rfam family "Bacterial small subunit ribosomal RNA", at positions 30 to 507 of the family's 1533-position model. The record is from RNAcentral.
UGAACGCUGGCGGUAGGCCUAACACAUGCACGUCGAACGGCAGCACAGUAAGAGCUUGCUCUUACGGGUGGCGAGUGGCGGACGGGUGAGGAAUACAUCGGAAUCUACUUUUUCGUGGGGAUAACGUAGGGAAACUUACGCUAAUACCGCAUACGACCUACGGGUGAAAGCAGGGGAUCUUCGGACCUUGCGCGAUUGAAUGAGCCGAUGUCGGAUUAGCUAGUUGGCGGGGUAAAGGCCCACCAAGGCGACGAUCCGUAGCUGGUCUGAGAGGAUGAUCAGCCACACUGGAACUGAGACACGGUCCAGACUCCUACGGGAGGCAGCAGUGGGGAAUAUUGGACAAUGGGCGCAAGCCUGAUCCAGCCAUACCGCGUGGGUGAAGAAGGCCUUCGGGUUGUAAAGCCCUUUUGUUGGGAAAGAAAAGCAGCAGGUUAAUACCCCGCUGUUCUGACGGUACCCAAAGAAUAAGCACCGGCUAACUUCGUG